UACGGAGGAUCCGAGCGUUAUCCGGAUUUAUUGGGUUUAAAGGGUGCGUAGGCGGUUUGAUAAGUUAGAGGUGAAAUGUCGGGGCUCAACCCCGAAACUGCCUCUAAUACUGUUGGACUAGAGAAUAGUUGCGGUAGGCGGAAUGUAUGGUGUAGCGGUGAAAUGCUUAGAUAUCACGCAGAACCCCGAUUGCGAAGGCAGCAUGCCGGCUUCCUACUGACGCUGAAGCACGAAAGCGUGGGGAUCGAACAGG
This 253-nucleotide ribosomal RNA is filed under the name uncultured Rikenellaceae bacterium. RNAcentral describes it as "partial 16S ribosomal RNA". It matches the Rfam family "Bacterial small subunit ribosomal RNA", at positions 524 to 776 of the family's 1533-position model. Lineage: Bacteria; Pseudomonadati; Bacteroidota; Bacteroidia; Bacteroidales; Rikenellaceae. The record is from RNAcentral.